UACGGAGGAUGCGAGCGUUAUCCGGAUUUAUUGGGUGUAAAGGGUGCGUAGACGGGAAAUUAAGUUAGUUGUGAAAUCCCUCGGCUUAACUGAGGAACUGCAACUAAAACUGAUUUUCUUGAGUACUGGAGAGGAAAGUGGAAUUCCUAGUGUAGCGGUGAAAUGCGUAGAUAUUAGGAGGAACACCAGUGGCGAAGGCGACUUCCUGGUCUGCAACUGACACUGAGGCGCGAAAGCGUGGGGAGCAAACAGG
This 253-nucleotide ribosomal RNA is filed under the name uncultured Eubacteriales bacterium. Its description in RNAcentral is "uncultured Clostridiales bacterium partial 16S ribosomal RNA". It matches the Rfam family "Bacterial small subunit ribosomal RNA", at positions 524 to 776 of the family's 1533-position model. Lineage: Bacteria; Bacillati; Bacillota; Clostridia; Eubacteriales. The record is from RNAcentral.